CCUACGGGGGGCAGCAGUGAGGAAUAUUGGGCAAUGGACGCAAGUCUGAACCAGCCAUGCCGCGUGAAGGAUGACGGCUCUAUGAGUUGUAAACUGCUUUUGUACGAGGGUAAACCCCGACACGUGUAUCGGGUUGAAAGUAUCGUACGAAUAAGGAUCGGCUAACUCCGUGCCAGCAGCCGCGGUCAUACGGAGGAUCCGAGGGUUAUCCGGAUUUAUUGGGGUGAAAGGGUGCGUAGGCGGUAUGAUAAGGUAGAGGUGAAAUGUCGGGGCUCAACCCCGAAACUGCCUUUAAGACUGUUUGACUAGAGAAUAGUUGCGGUAGGCGGAAUGUAUGGUGUAGCGGUGAAAUGCUUAGAGAU
This 362-nucleotide ribosomal RNA is filed under the name uncultured bacterium. RNAcentral's name for it is "partial 16S ribosomal RNA". It matches the Rfam family "Bacterial small subunit ribosomal RNA", at positions 338 to 697 of the family's 1533-position model. The record is from RNAcentral.